Molecule: non-coding RNA, 210 nt
Organism: Arachis ipaensis
Lineage: Eukaryota; Viridiplantae; Streptophyta; Magnoliopsida; Fabales; Fabaceae
Source: RefSeq, a predicted model, not a curated record
UAGAGAGAGAAGCUCCAUCUUCUCUCUAGAAUUAGGUUUAAUUACAUGUUAUCAUCUCAUUUCUUUUAUGAUCUCUUACUUCUACUCCUUGAUUCUCAUGAUUUUGUAGCGUUAAUUUUACUUUUAUGCUCUCUUUUACAUUCAUGAUCUCAUGUUGGAUUUGUUUACAUUUAAUGCAAUUUUACUGUUGAUGUCUCUUUAAUUGAUGUU